This 460-nucleotide ribosomal RNA is filed under the name uncultured bacterium. RNAcentral's name for it is "partial 16S ribosomal RNA". It matches the Rfam family "Bacterial small subunit ribosomal RNA", at positions 338 to 795 of the family's 1533-position model. The record is from RNAcentral.
CCUACGGGUGGCAGCAGUGAGGAAUAUUGGUCAAUGGGCGCGAGCCUGAACCAGCCAAGUCGCGUGAAGGAUGACUGCCCUCCGGGUUGUAAACUUCUUUUAUAAAGGAAUACAGUGAGGCACGUGUGCCUUUUUGUAUGUACUUUAUGUAUAAGGAUCGGCUAACUCCGUGCCAGCAGCCGCGGUAAUACGGAGGAUCCGAGCGUUAUCCGGAUUUAUUGGGUUUAAAGGGAGCGUAGAUGGGUUGUUAAGUCAGUUGUGAAAGUUUGCGGCUCAACCGGAAAAUUGCAAUUGAUACUGGCAGCCUUGAGUAUAGGUGAGGUAGGCGGAAUUCGUGGUGUAGCGGUGAAAUGCUUAGAUAUCACGAAGAACACCGAUGGCGAAGGCAGCUUACUAAACUGCCACUGACAUUGAUGCUCGAAAGUGUGGGUAUCAAACAGGAUUAGAUACCCCAGUAGUC